GUUUCCAACACAAUGCAUGGCACCCAAUAUGCCCCAUUUCGCUAACCUCCACUGAGCCCCAAGCUCUGAAGAUCAAAGUCAAAGCACGAAAUGAACGUGAGAGAGCUGGAAAGCUAACUACAAAGCCUCUAAAAGUUACGUAACAUGAAGAAACACACUCGAUUCUGCCUCUCCCAUUGAAUAGAGCAAUAAAACAUGGACACAACACACAAAGCAGCUAUUUGAGGACUCUGAGAAGGAAAUGGCAGCACACAGAUUGGGGGAGAAGACCAGAAUUUGAAAUGCUGCUGAACCACAGCAUAUAAGAGUGUCUGUAACUGCAACACCUGUCUAGUACUUAUUUUCAAUGAUCAAUGAUCACAUUACAAAAAAGAUCUCA
This 379-nucleotide long non-coding RNA is filed under the name Homo sapiens (human). RNAcentral's name for it is "HSALNT0386997". The record is from RNAcentral. Lineage: Eukaryota; Metazoa; Chordata; Mammalia; Primates; Hominidae.